GAUGAACGCUAGCGGCAGGCCUAACACAUGCAAGUCGAGGGAGAAGCCUUUCGGGGCAGAAACCGGCGCACGGGUGCGUAACGCGUAUGCAACCUACCUUUCACAGGGGGAUAGCCCGAAGAAAUUUGGAUUAAUACCCCAUAAUAUUAUUGGAUGGCAUCAUUUGAUAAUUAAAAUUACGAUGGUGAAAGAUGGGCAUGCGUCCUAUUAGCUAGUUGGAGUGGUAACGGCACCCCAAGGCUACGAUAGGUAGGGGUCCUGAGAGGGAGAUCCCCCACACUGGUACUGAGACAGGGACCAGACUCCUACGGGAGGCAGCAGUGAGGAAUAUUGGUCAAUGGUCGGAAGACUGAACCAGCCAUGCCGCGUGCAGGAAGAAUGCCUUAUGGGUUGUAAACUGCUUUUAUAUGGGAAAGAAAUAAAGGAAGUACGUGUAC
This 437-nucleotide ribosomal RNA is filed under the name Capnocytophaga granulosa. Its description in RNAcentral is "bacterial SSU rRNA". It matches the Rfam family "Bacterial small subunit ribosomal RNA", at positions 28 to 469 of the family's 1533-position model. The record is from RNAcentral. Lineage: Bacteria; Pseudomonadati; Bacteroidota; Flavobacteriia; Flavobacteriales; Flavobacteriaceae.